RNAcentral lists this ribosomal RNA (253 nucleotides) under uncultured bacterium. RNAcentral's name for it is "partial 16S ribosomal RNA". It matches the Rfam family "Bacterial small subunit ribosomal RNA", at positions 524 to 776 of the family's 1533-position model. The record is from RNAcentral.
UACGUAGGGUGCAAGCGUUAAUCGGAAUUACUGGGCGUAAAGCGUGCGCAGGCGGUUUUGUAAGUCAGAUGUGAAAGCCCCGGGCUCAACCUGGGAAUUGCAUUUGAAACUGGGGAACUAGAGUGUGUGAGAGGGGGGUAGAAUUCCAAGUGUAGCGGUGAAAUGCGUAGAGAUUUGGAGGAAUACCAGUGGCGAAGGCGGCCCCCUGGCACAACACUGACGCUCAGGUGCGAAAGCGUGGGGAGCAAACAGG